GAUGAACGCUGGCGGCGUGCUUAACACAUGCAAGUCGAACGGUGAACACGGAGCUUGCUCUGUGGGAUCAGUGGCGAACGGGUGAGUAACACGUGAGCAACCUGCCCCUGACUCUGGGAUAAGCGCUGGAAACGGCGUCUAAUACUGGAUAUGUGACGUGACCGCAUGGUCUGCGUUUGGAAAGAUUUUUCGGUUGGGGAUGGGCUCGCGGCCUAUCAGCUUGUUGGUGAGGUAAUGGCUCACCAAGGCGUCGACGGGUAGCCGGCCUGAGAGGGUGACCGGCCACACUGGGACUGAGACACGGCCCAGACGCCUACGGGAGGCAGCAGUGGGGAAUAUUGCACAAUGGGCGCAAGCCUGAUGCAGCAACGCCGCGUGAGGGAUGACGGCCUUCGGGUUGUAAACCUCUUUUAGCAGGGAAGAAGCGAAAGUGACGGUACCUGCAGAAAAAGCGCCGGCUAACUACGUG
Molecule: ribosomal RNA, 469 nt
Filed under: uncultured bacterium
Lineage: Bacteria
Description: partial 16S ribosomal RNA
Rfam family: Bacterial small subunit ribosomal RNA
Source: RNAcentral